AUGAGAAGCACAAGAACAGGGCAGUUGGAGCAAUUGUUUUGCAUGCCGGCGUAAACGAUAUAAGGCACCGACAAUAGGAAAUCCUCAAGGAUGACUUCACAGCAUUAAUUAAAGACACGAAGGAGAGGACUCCAUCGGCAAAGACCUUCAUUUCGGGUCCACUGCCUCUUGUCAGACGAUCAAAUGAGUACUACAGUCGUCUGCUAGGAUUAAACAACUGGCUGUAGGGCUUCUGUAAGAAUCAAGACAUCGGGUUCAUCAACAACUGGGACCUCUUUUGGGAAAGACCGCGUUUCUUCAAGCGAGAUGGCCUGCAUCCGAACAGUUUCAGCGCCCGGGUCCUCUCCGAAAACAUAUCUAAGGUAAUUCAUUUAUCUUGACUAUCUAUCUCUACUCUUAACCCCUUCCGAAAUGCUACUGCUGUGCUAGGACAUGAUAAUUGUUUAAUAAAAUCUUCCGUAAAAGUGCACAACAUUAAUACUAUAAUAACCAAUCUCAAUGCAUGUAGAAAAUCUAGGCAAUACGGCAUAAACACCAAUAAUUUAAUUAAUAUUACUACUUUAGAUGAACAAUGUAUUAAAACUAUAAAAACAGACUAUAGAUUAAACAAAAAAUACACACAGAGCGGCGCUAAUAAAAAUAACUUAGUUCCUGUUCCAAAUACCAAUAACGCACAUAGUAUUCAUCUCUGCCCCUCUGAAACAUUAAAUAUGGCACUAUUAAAUGUUAGAGCUUUAACUAAUAAGACGUUUUUUA
Molecule: long non-coding RNA, 756 nt
Organism: Erpetoichthys calabaricus (reedfish)
Lineage: Eukaryota; Metazoa; Chordata; Cladistia; Polypteriformes; Polypteridae
Exons: 2
Source: RefSeq, a predicted model, not a curated record